This 413-nucleotide long non-coding RNA is filed under the name Gossypium raimondii (Peruvian cotton). Its description in RNAcentral is "long non-coding RNA (GRAI_LNC000361)". Lineage: Eukaryota; Viridiplantae; Streptophyta; Magnoliopsida; Malvales; Malvaceae. The record is from RNAcentral.
GUUUUUUUACAUGCUAAAUAAAUUUCAUAAAAAAUACAUGCUAAAUAAAAUAAUAAAACAUAUAAUGUACAUAACAUGAGUUUUUUACACAAAUAAUAUAAAAAAAUUAAAAUAAUACAAAAAAAAAUACCUUUCCUUAUUCUUUUUCUUUCUUUUUCCUUCCUUCCCUCCCUCUUCUUCUUCUCCUUCUCUUUCUCUUUUUCCUGCGCCUCCUUCUCCUCCUCCUUCUUCUUCUUCUUCUCCUUUCCUUUUCUUUCUUUUUCUUUCUUCUCCUUUCCUUUUCUAUCUUCUCCUUCAGCCGAAUCUGGGGACCAUUAUAAUGGGUGGUGCCGCCUGUGGCAGAGGCACCUUUGGUGCCGCCUCUGCCACUAGCACCUCUGGUGCCGCCUGUGGCAGGCCUUCCACUAGGGUCC